Molecule: long non-coding RNA, 381 nt
Organism: Neodiprion fabricii
Lineage: Eukaryota; Metazoa; Arthropoda; Insecta; Hymenoptera; Diprionidae
Exons: 2
Source: RefSeq, a predicted model, not a curated record
ACUGGUAUACGAAUCGUCGCGAUUGGUAUAAAAACGAGGAGCAUCAGCCUGGUUUAUCGUAAAAGUAUUUCAAUCGUUGAGUACUACACUAAUUGCCGUUCAUCAUGAAAGCAGCAGCCUGUCUGAUCUUCGCCGCGUUGGUAUUCUUCCAACUUUACAAUACCAUCCACGCUGAAAAAGCUGAACCGGAUUACAUCUACACACAAUAAUGAGGAUUAACCAGCGCUGGCAUUUCCAUGGCUUGCAACGGACUUAUACCUGCAGUUUUGACCAAUGACACCGUUCACCGAUUUAAAAUUAUAUUACGAGACACCCAAAUACCAAAACUAUUUUGACGAUUGCAUUGUGAUUAAUAAUAAAGCAUGUUUUGAGUUGUAAAAA